CACCAAGUGUGGGACUGACUGUCAUGCCCCGAUCCUGACCUACGUCCAAGAUCGACACGUGACGUCUUUUAGUAAUUGGUGAAGAUCCGGCCGUUGGAUGUCUGGGUGACUCCUUCGGAGUUUUCUACAACUUAAUUAUGAUUUCAUAAGGCAUGAUUCUAUACUUGAUGUUAUAGAUUGUGAUCGAUGGUCCGUUUUUAUUGAAUAUCACAUACUUGUAUUAUUAUCACUCACCCGAGCUCCGCAGCUUAUCCGAGUUCCGUUUGGUCGGUGCACCAUUUUCAUGAUGUAGGCACUGAUUUUACAUACGACAUGUCUGGGUAGAUUUUGAGAAACCACUUAAUAUUUUGGUUCCAUUGAAUGGUCUGGACCCCGAUGUUGUUGGAUUCCGUUGAGUGGUCCGGAAUCCUUACUCUCGCUCAUUUCCAUAAGUUAGACUAGAACCUUGGAUUCGAGUGAACGGGAAUUACCCACAAUAGACCUUGUGAAUAUAAAUUAGAAUUAUCAAGUUAUUACUUGGAAUCCAGGCAGGGAAUUAUGUAGAAUUCCUUUAUUAAAUUUUGUGCAUUGAUGUGUGAUCUGGUUGACUGAUUAACAUAAUUAAAUGUUAAUAUCGUGCCUCCUUGAUUCAAGGAAUGGGUUACUUGAGGUGAUUAUGGAAUGAUGUUGAAUAUGAUUGUUAUUAAUACGAUUAGAGCAGUGACCAAUGUGACUAGAGGAUACUAUUGUGCUUUGUUGAUUCUUUGAUAUAUUACAUGAUAUAAAUUGUGAUUUUAUGUUGAAACAUAAUGAUUUAUAUGAUGGAUGAAAUAGAAACCUUGAUUGUCAUGUGGCAUGUUAUGUAGCUUGAAUCGAAUAAUUCAUGCUUGUCAAGUCCAAAUGUUUGAUUGAGGAAUGUUAUGCCUUUCAGCUUGAGCGGACUGUGAUAUAUGUCGAGUUGUAGCGAAUGACGAACUACAAAUGGCUUGAUCCCUAUUAGGGUACAUAGGCCGUCUAACGAGGAGGUUAGAUGUAACCAUAAAAUAUACAAAAAAUUACUAUACGAUUCGAUUCUUGAGUUAUGCUUCGUACAUAUCCCGAAGGCGGGAUUUGUUGGGUUUAUGGUUACUUAG
RNAcentral lists this long non-coding RNA (1112 nucleotides) under Malus domestica (apple). RNAcentral describes it as "long non-coding RNA (MDOM_LNC003270)". Lineage: Eukaryota; Viridiplantae; Streptophyta; Magnoliopsida; Rosales; Rosaceae. The record is from RNAcentral.